ACAACUUUCAACAACGGAUCUCUUGGCUCUCGCAUCGAUGAAGAACGCAGCGAAAUGCGAUAAGUAAUGUGAAUUGCAGAAUUCAGUGAAUCAUCGAAUCUUUGAACGCACCUUGCGCUCCUUGGUAUUCCGAGGAGCAUGCCUGUUUGAGUGUCAUUAAA
Molecule: ribosomal RNA, 161 nt
Filed under: Amanita flavorubens
Lineage: Eukaryota; Fungi; Basidiomycota; Agaricomycetes; Agaricales; Amanitaceae
Also listed under: 9 other names
Description: 5.8S ribosomal RNA
Rfam family: 5.8S ribosomal RNA
About the family: 5.8S ribosomal RNA (5.8S rRNA) is a component of the large subunit of the eukaryotic ribosome. It is transcribed by RNA polymerase I as part of the 45S precursor that also contains 18S and 28S rRNA.
Source: RNAcentral